This is a regulatory RNA element of Sharpea azabuensis, 120 nucleotides long. It matches the Rfam family "Ribosomal protein L10 leader". Rfam says of the family: This family is a putative r-protein leader autoregulatory structure found in B. subtilis and other low-GC Gram-positive bacteria. It is located in the 5' untranslated regions of mRNAs encoding ribosomal proteins L10 and L12 (rplJ-rplL). The record is from Rfam. Lineage: Bacteria; Bacillati; Bacillota; Erysipelotrichia; Erysipelotrichales; Coprobacillaceae.
AUUGAUGCAAUCAAUAUACCGCAGACAGUAACUGACGUAUGUCUCAAUUUGUUACCGAGGUAGUAUUGUCAAACAAAUGACAACACUUCCUCAUUGUGGGAAGUGUUCUUUUAUACACAU